This 608-nucleotide ribosomal RNA is filed under the name Metarhizium anisopliae. RNAcentral describes it as "eukaryotic LSU rRNA". The stretch from base 195 to 348 matches the Rfam family "5.8S ribosomal RNA". Lineage: Eukaryota; Fungi; Ascomycota; Sordariomycetes; Hypocreales; Clavicipitaceae. The record is from RNAcentral.
GAGUGGGAUUUCUCGGCACUGUAUCCUUCCGUAAGGGUGACCUGCGGAGGGAUCAUUACCGAGUUAUCCAACUCCCAACCCCUGUGAAUCAUACCUUUAAUUGUUGCUUCGGCGGGACUUCGCGCCCGCCGGGGACCCAAACCUUCUGAAUUUUUUAAUAAGUAUCUUCUGAGUGGUUAAAAAAAAUGAAUCAAAACUUUCAACAACGGAUCUCUUGGUUCUGGCAUCGAUGAAGAACGCAGCGAAAUGCGAUAAGUAAUGUGAAUUGCAGAAUUCAGUGAAUCAUCGAAUCUUUGAACGCACAUUGCGCCCGUCAGUAUUCUGGCGGGCAUGCCUGUUCGAGCGUCAUUACGCCCCUCAAGUCCCCUGUGGACUUGGUGUUGGGGAUCGGCGAGGCUGGUUUUCCAGCACAGCCGUCCCUUAAAUUAAUUGGCGGUCUCGCCGUGGCCCUCCUCUGCGCAGUAGUAAAGCACUCGCAACAGGAGCCCGGCGCGGUCCACUGCCGUAAAACCCCCCAACUUUUUAUAGUUGACCUCGAAUCAGGUAGGACUACCCGCUGAACUUAAGCAUAUCAAAAGCCGGGAGGAAAUUCACAUGACCCUCAUCCC